GCGGGUGUGGCAUAAUGGUAGUGCCUUAGCCUUCCAAGCUAAUGAUACGGGUUCGAUUCCCGUCGCCCGCU
This 71-nucleotide transfer RNA is filed under the name Chloroflexota bacterium. Its description in RNAcentral is "Chloroflexi bacterium tRNA-Gly". It matches the Rfam family "tRNA". From Rfam's summary of the family: Transfer RNA (tRNA) molecules are approximately 80 nucleotides in length. Lineage: Bacteria; Bacillati; Chloroflexota. The record is from RNAcentral.